AUUUUGCAAUCGUUCCUAUGGCAGCUAUCACCAUCGUUUUCGGAUUUAAAUAAAUUUAAAACAGUAAUUCUAAAAUAAUAAACCAUUACCUUGUAUCGAAGAAUAAUAAAAUCAGUUCGGCAAGCUGAAGUUGUGAAAACUAUGAUGAUUUUCUGAUGAAUUACACUGGCUUACAAAUUUAAAUCGACAAAGUCGUCCAGAGAUCAAACCAUGAAUUUCCAGCGCAGAUGGACUCCCUGAUUCAGAAUAUGACGCUCACAAAAAACUAUGAUACCCUUUUUUUUAAAGUAAAAAACGUUUUCCACCCGUUUUCAAGCCUAUUUAAUUUUUUCUCCAGUUCUGCUGAACUAAUUUUGGUCACCGAUAGUUAAUUUUAAGAGAAAUAGAACAUUCGUCCGAUUUUAAUAAAACUAAAAUCAUAAAUUUAAAAGUUUAUUUAAAAGUGGGGAAGUUUGCGUAAAAACGGACGGACAUAGCUAGAUCGACUCUCCGAGUGUUGCUUAUCAAGAAUAUAUAUACUUUAUAGGUUCGGAAACGUCUCCUUCACUGCGUUGCAAACUUCUGACUGAAAUUAUAAUACCCUCUGAAAGGGUAUAAAAAAUAUCUCUUUAUUUCAAGAAAGCUUUCGUAAAAGUACAAUUAAAAACAUGUCGCUGUUCGCCAAAUAUAGGAGCGGUCGUAAUGCAAUUUAUGACAAAUCGAAAAAUUAGAGUUCGAGCUAAUCAUAAACAUUCAUCUAUCAACCCAAUGCACAACGGACAUGGGUAGAUCGACUAUUUUAGUGAUAUAUAUGUAGGAGAUUAAUUUGAAAUGCAAUGAAGAAAUAUUAUUUGUAAGUCUCUGAGUGUAUUGAAUAAACGAAGUUAAAAAGAAAUAAGGAAGAGAGAAGCUUUUGAGUAAGAGCGCGGUGGGGAAGGAGAGCGAAAUCCCUACUGAGCGUGGCGCAAUGAGAGGUAGAGAAUAAUGAGCGAGAGGAAGACAGUUCGAGAAAGCCUGCGAAACGGAACAGACGCUCGUGCAGAGAAAUCAUUGCGACUUGCUGCGCUGAAGAAUAUAUAAUUCCAUAAUGGCAGACGAACCAGACCCCCUAUCUCCUACAUCAGAAGUGGGAUCACCACCCCUACAAGACAAUUCGGAGAACAGCUGGCGCACGCUUCUGGAAUCGCAAAAUAUAGUGAUUACGGAACUUUUGAAAGCAGCACAACCCACGACGGCGCCUAGCACGCGCCCUGUCUCGGCAGUGUUACCAACUUUCAACCCCGAAGCUGCUGAAGCCGACGCAGCAGCAUGGUGCAAAACGGCUAGCAUGAUUCUAUGUGAACAUCCGCAAGAAGGUGCAUCUUUGGUAAUGACUCUCAGCAAGUCGUUGCUCGGUAGUGCAUCGCAGUGGCUAUCACAAAUAUGCUUCGCCGGAAUGAGCUGGGCGCAAUUCAAGGAAUUGUUCAUGGAGCGCUAUGAAGGCAACGAGACGCCGGCGGCAUUAUUGCUAAACAUGCUGAAGGGACGCCCAAGCCCCAACGAAUGCCUAUCAGUGUACUCCAGCCGAAUGGUUACAUCUUUAUUAACCAAGUGGAAAGCGAUGACACACGAAGAAAUUGCUAUAUCGUUGGUUCUGGCACAUUCGUCGCAAAUUGAUUCCAGACUGCAGCGCUUAGUGUUUACAACAAACAUAAAGACAAGAGCGGAGUAACAACAACAACUCAAAGCGCAUUCGUUCGUCAGAAAGUCUGAAUUCUCUGGAAUUUACAUGGGCCCCGAGAAGAAGAGGUUUAAAAUGCAAACGCCGAUUAGAUGCCAUAGUUGCGGAAAGCUGGGGCACAAAGCAAUAGAGUGUCACAGGAGGAAAGCAGAAGAGAGGAACGAGACGAGAGCAGGCCAUGGCAACGGCAGAUCAACGAUGAUGAGAGAGAGAUCAACUGUGACAUGUUUUAAAUGUCAGUGUGCACGAAGGGACCAGCAGAAGCGAGCAAAAGCAGCGAGAGAAUAGUGGACAUGUGCGCGAUUCUUCAGCCUAACGGUACUGCAAUACAAUUCGGUGAGCGGUUUCCAUUUUUCUUUGAUUCGGGUUCCGAAUGCUCGUUGGUAAAAGAAACAACAGGCGAGAAGCUAGGCGGCAAAAGAUGUCAUAAUUUGGUAGUUUUAAAAGGCAUUGGCUACAAUAUUGUCAAGAGCACUAUGCAAAUUCUGUCUACCGUACAAAUUUCAGAAUUUAAUUUCGAAUUGUUGUUCCACGUAGUAGAUAAUAAGUGUCUCAAAUAUGAUAUGAUAAUUGGACAAGACAUUUUUCAACUUGGCUUUGGAGUUAUGUUAGAAAGUAAUAAAUUUGAUAUUUAUAGAA
Molecule: long non-coding RNA, 2338 nt
Organism: Drosophila gunungcola (fruit fly)
Lineage: Eukaryota; Metazoa; Arthropoda; Insecta; Diptera; Drosophilidae
Exons: 2
Source: RefSeq, a predicted model, not a curated record